This 304-nucleotide unclassified non-coding RNA is filed under the name Hevea brasiliensis (rubber tree). The record is from RNAcentral. Lineage: Eukaryota; Viridiplantae; Streptophyta; Magnoliopsida; Malpighiales; Euphorbiaceae.
GCCGAUUGAAGAAGGUGAUAGAGAGGGAUGAAUUCUGUGGCUGCUGCAGCGUCUUCGGUGGUGCCGACCCGAUUUUCGGGAGGGCACAACUACUUUAAGGAACACAGAGGAUUGCAGUUCAUCAGCACAUCUAAGUGGAAUAGGACACUAAAUUUUACACGAGUUGGGACCGGGACUGCUCCAUAUCUUGCUCCACAAUCUGGUGAUGAUGAUAUCCUGUCUCAUCCUAUAGAUAGAGUAUCUGUAGGACGAAGUACGUCUGUUAAUGGACAGGACACUAUUUCUACCAGUACCUUUGACCAAG